ACGUACACUCCUACGGGAGGCAGCAGUGGGGAAUCUUGCGCAAUGGGCGAAAGCCUGACGCAGCCAUGCCGCGUGAAUGAUGAAGGUCUUAGGAUUGUAAAAUUCUUUCACCGGGGACGAUAAUGACGGUACCCGGAGAAGAAGCCCCGGCUAACUUCGUGCCAGCAGCCGCGGUAAUACGAAGGGGGCUAGCGUUGCUCGGAAUUACUGGGCGUAAAGGGAGCGUAGGCGGACAUUUAAGUCAGGGAUGAAAUCCCGGGGCUCAACCUCGGAAUUGCCUUUGAUACUGGGUGUCUUGAUUAUGAGAGAGGUUUGUGGAACUCCGAGUGUAGAGGUGAAAUUCGUAGAUAUUCGGAAGAACACCAGUGGCGAAGGCGACACACUGGCUCAUUACUGACGCUGAGGCUCGAAAGCGUGGGGAGCAAACAGGAUUAGAUACCCCGGUAGUCCCA
Molecule: ribosomal RNA, 452 nt
Filed under: uncultured organism
Description: partial 16S ribosomal RNA
Rfam family: Bacterial small subunit ribosomal RNA
Source: RNAcentral